RNAcentral lists this ribosomal RNA (484 nucleotides) under uncultured bacterium. Its description in RNAcentral is "partial 16S ribosomal RNA". It matches the Rfam family "Bacterial small subunit ribosomal RNA", at positions 30 to 507 of the family's 1533-position model. The record is from RNAcentral.
AUUGAACGCUGGCGGCAGGCCUAACACAUGCAAGUCGAGCGGACGAAGGGAGCUUGCUCCUGGAUUCAGCGGCGGACGGGUGAGUAAUGCCCAGGAAUCUGCCUGGCAGUGGGGGAUAACGUCCGGAAACGGGCGCUAAUACCGCAUACGUCCUGAUGGUGAAAGUGGGGGAUCUUCGGACCUCACGCUAUCUGAUGAGCCUAGGUCGGAUUAGCUAGUUGGUUGGGUAAAGGCCUACCAAGGCGACGAUCCGUAACUGAUCUGAGAGGAUGAUCAGUCACACUGGAACUGAGACACGGUCCAGACUCCUACGGGAGGCAGCAGUGGGGAAUAUUGGGCAAUGGGCGAAAGCCUGAUCCAGCCAUGCCGCGUGUGUGAAGAAGGUCUUCGGAUUGUAAAGCACUUUAAGUUGGGAGGAAGGGAAGUAAGUUAAUCCCUUGCUGUUUUGACGUUACCAACAGAAUAAGCACCGGCUAACUUCGUG